GACCCAGUGGCGUAGCGGUAACGCACCCUGAACGCACCUACUGAAAGUAGGCAGGGAACAAACAAGUUUGGUGGGAGUUCCCUGUUUGACUCAGGGCUGGGUCA
This is a non-coding RNA of Mycena rebaudengoi, 104 nucleotides long. NCBI's taxonomy places the organism in Eukaryota, Fungi, Basidiomycota, Agaricomycetes, Agaricales, Mycenaceae. The record is from the annotation of a GenBank genome assembly.